AGAGUUUGAUCAUGGCUCAGGACGAACGCUGGCGGCGUGCUUAACACAUGCAAGUGGUGCGACGAACCAGGGCUUGCCCUGGGGCAAAGCCGCGAACGGGUGAGUAACACGUGAGUAACCUGCCCCGAUGACCGGGACAACCCGAGGAAACUCGGGCUAAUACCGGAUGUGGCGCACAGGCAUCAGCCUGUUCGCUAAAGGAAGCUUCGGCCUCCGCAUUGGGAGGGGCUCGCGGCCCAUUAGCUUGUUGGUGGGGUAACGGCCUACCAAGGCAACGAUGGGUAGCUGGUCUGAGAGGACGAUCAGCCACACUGGGACUGAGACACGGCCCAGACUCCUACGGGAGGCAGCAGUGGGGAAUCUUGCGCAAUGCGCGAAAGCGUGACGCAGCAACGCCGCGUGGGGGAAGACGGCCUUCGGGUUGUAAACCCCUUUCAGGAGGGACGAAGGUUCACCGGUGAAUAGCCGUGUGGAUUGACGGUACCUCCACAAGAAGCUCCGGCUAACUACGUGCCAGCAGCCGCGGUAAUACGUAGGGAGCAAGCGUUGUCCGGAAUCAUUGGGCGUAAAGCGCGCGUAGGUGGCUCCAUAAGUCCGUUGUGAAAGUCAAAGGCUCAACCUUUGAAAGCCGAUGGAUACUGUGGAGCUAGAGUACGGAAGAGGCGAGUGGAAUUCCUGGUGUAGCGGUGGAAUGCGCAGAUAUCAGGAGGAACACCAAUAGCGAAGGCAGCUCGCUGGGACGUUACUGACACUGAGGCGCGAAAGCGUGGGGAGCGAACAGGAUUAGAUACCCUAGUAGUCC
Molecule: ribosomal RNA, 802 nt
Filed under: uncultured bacterium
Lineage: Bacteria
Description: bacterial SSU rRNA
Rfam family: Bacterial small subunit ribosomal RNA
Source: RNAcentral